AUUGAACGCUGGCGGCAUGCCUUACACAUGCAAGUCGAACGGCAGCACGGGAGCAAUCCUGGUGGCGAGUGGCGAACGGGUGAGUAAUAUAUCGGAACGUGCCCAGUCGUGGGGAUAACGUAGCGAAAGCUACGCUAAUACCGCAUACGAUCUACGGAUGAAAGCGGGGGAUCGCAAGACCUCGCGCGAUUGGAGCGGCCGAUAUCAGAUUAGGUAGUUGGUGAGGUAAAGGCUCACCAAGCCGACGAUCUGUAGCUGGUCUGAGAGGACGACCAGCCACACUGGGACUGAGACACGGCCCAGACUCCUACGGGAGGCAGCAGUGGGGAAUUUUGGACAAUGGGCGCAAGCCUGAUCCAGCAAUGCCGCGUGCAGGAUGAAGGCCUUCGGGUUGU
This 395-nucleotide ribosomal RNA is filed under the name uncultured bacterium. RNAcentral describes it as "bacterial SSU rRNA". It matches the Rfam family "Bacterial small subunit ribosomal RNA", at positions 30 to 426 of the family's 1533-position model. The record is from RNAcentral.